Molecule: ribosomal RNA, 484 nt
Filed under: uncultured bacterium
Lineage: Bacteria
Description: partial 16S ribosomal RNA
Rfam family: Bacterial small subunit ribosomal RNA
Source: RNAcentral
AUUGAACGCUGGCGGCAGGCCUAACACAUGCAGGUCGAGCGGAUGAAGGGAGCUUGCUCCUGGAUUCAGCGGCGGACGGGUGAGUAAUGCCUAGGAAUCUGCCUGGUAGUGGGGGAUAACGUCCGGAAACGGGCGCUAAUACCGCAUACGUCCUGAGGGAGAAAGUGGGGGAUCUUCGGACCUCACGCUAUCAGAUGAGCCUAGGUCGGAUUAGCUAGUUGGUGGGGUAAAGGCCUACCAAGGCGACGAUCCGUAACUGGUCUGAGAGGAUGAUCAGUCACACUGGAACUGAGACACGGUCCAGACUCCUACGGGAGGCAGCAGUGGGGAAUAUUGGACAAUGGGCGAAAGCCAGAUCCAGCCAUGCCGCGUGUGUGAAGAAGGUCUUCGGAUUGUAAAGCACUUUAAGUUGGGAGGAAGGGCAGUAAGUUAAUACCUUGCUGUUUUGACGUUACCAACAGAAUAAGCACCGGCUAACUUCGUG